GCCAGACUCCUACGGGAGGCAGCAGUGAGGAAUAUUGGUCAAUGGGCGGAAGCCUGAACCAGCCAAGUCGCGUGAGGGAAUAAGGCCCUACGGGUCGUAAACCUCUUUUGCCGGGGAGCAAGCGUGCGUUCGUGAACGCGCGUCGAGAGUACCCGGAGAAAAAGCAUCGGCUAACUCCGUGCCAGCAGCCGCGGUAAUACGGAGGAUGCGAGCGUUAUCCGGAUGUAUUGGGUUUAAAGGGUGCGUAGGCGGGAUGCCAAGUCAGCGGUAAAAAUGCGGUGCUCAACGCCGUCGAGCCGUUGAAACUGGCGUUCUUGAGUGGGCGAGAAGUAUGCGGAAUGCGUGGUGUAGCGGUGAAAUGCAUAGAUAUCACGCAGAACUCCGAUUGCGAAGGCAGCAUACCGGCGCCCUACUGACGCUGAGGCACGAAAGCGUGGGUAUCGAACAGGAUUAGAUACCCCUGUA
This 465-nucleotide ribosomal RNA is filed under the name uncultured bacterium. RNAcentral's name for it is "bacterial SSU rRNA". It matches the Rfam family "Bacterial small subunit ribosomal RNA", at positions 330 to 792 of the family's 1533-position model. The record is from RNAcentral.